RNAcentral lists this long non-coding RNA (504 nucleotides) under Malus domestica (apple). RNAcentral describes it as "long non-coding RNA (MDOM_LNC002227)". Lineage: Eukaryota; Viridiplantae; Streptophyta; Magnoliopsida; Rosales; Rosaceae. The record is from RNAcentral.
UGGCUUAUGGGGUAUUGGGUAGUAUAUUUUUUUGUGGAAAGAUUUCUGGGUUUUGCAGAGAUACUGCAAAUGGGAAGAAUAUGGGAAAAGAUGCAGCGGAAUAUGUAUGGUUAACAAGCUGGAUAUGGGUAAUAAUGUUGGUAGAUAUGGCCAAAUGAAAAAAGAGUAAGAUUGGGUUGGUAUGAAAGUAGAAGACCUGCAGAAUAGCAGGUCUUAUUGGGUAGAUGGCAGUAGUGCCAGUAAGUGAAUAAGAAUAGAAACUCUGUUUGGAUCAGAAUGGCUCUGAUACCAUGCCAAAAUAGAGUUAAUUUCUUGAUAUUAGAUGAUUAUUUCUCAUUACAAGAUGAACAUAUAUAUAGGGAAAGAAAGAAGACAUAGGACCUAACUUUGCCUAACUUGCCUAACUUGCCUAACUUACCUAACUUGCCUAAUUUACAUAAAGAAAGUUGACUAGCCUAACUUCACUAGCCAUCCAAUACUCAUGGCUGCUUUUAGUUGACAGUU